UGUUUCUCGAUUUCCUCCCCGCUCUCUCUCUCCCUGUUCAUAUCUCCCAUUCUCCCCCACCGCUCCGAGCUCCUCCCAGAUCCCCUCACCUUCACUGGAUUGCCCCGCCGGAGCUCCUCCUUACCCUACCCUCUACCCAGAACGAGCUGCCUUGUGCUCUCCCUGUCCAUGUAUAGGGCAAGUGUGCGGCCGGAGACAAAGCUUGCGGCGGCCGAUUUCAAGGGGAGGAUGGAGAUACGGGUGUUGCGGCCUGCCGUCGAGAGGCGCUGCAGGCGGCCGGCGAUCUAUGGCGUGGGGCGGUGGAUCCAGGCACUGGGCUAAGGUAGGCGGCAACAUGCGCCGCUGCUUGGGCGACGAGGCGGCGGGGAACGGAGGCCGGCGUCCAGGUUUGCCGGGGCAUGACCAGGACAGGCUGCUGGUGAGAUGCAGCCUGUGUGGUCGCGCACAUCCGCUUCGAGCUGCGGCUUUCGCGGGAACGGAGCCCCUUCCUCUCCCCCUUUUAGUUUCCUUUUGUCCAACCAACUGACGGACCAGGACAGGCUGCUGUGAGAUGCAGCCUGUGUAUUGUUUUUCUGAAGGUUUUCGGGUGAGUGCGCGGUGUUUCCUGUCAGCGGCGCGGCCGGCCUCCUUCGACAUCGUCUUCUUCAGCUCCGUUUUAGCUUCAUGGCUUGGAGGUAUAUCGGCAGUUGGCCACUUGUCUGGGCCGCGCCGUGGAUGCUCCUGCCGGUCUGUGGCUUUUGGUUCAUCCAAGGGGAUUGCAAAAGCUACCAGCAGGUGCUUCCUUGUGGAAUUUCCUUGUGCUUUAUUGAUGGCUCAGUGGAAGGGUUGUCUGAUCUUGCAUCAAUUCGUACUACAAGCUAGCAGAUAUAGAUGGAUACUGAUCUCUCGAGAUUCAUCAGACCCCUAAACCAAAGAGUAUUUAUAAAGAUGAAGUUGGUGGUUUCCAUCGGGUGGAGGGGGGAGACAGAUAUCUCAUUCCAUUUGUUCUGCAGACUCAAAGCUUGCCUACUAGGCCAUGUUGAUACAACUAUAUUCUCAAGGUUAUGAUACAAGCCAAGGUGGGUCAUUUUGAGCAGUCAUGUUCAGGGUCUGCAGCCAACCUUAAUGUGAUCAUUAGUUAGUUGGUUUCCAUGGACAACUGUUUGUGCAUAUAUAUGCUGGAAGUCAUGUAAACCUAUCUGGAGAUAGAUACAUAAUACAUGCCCCAUGCUGGAAUUGCUAAACCUUCCCAAGCUUCUGCCUGGCUCCUCAAGCAAUCACCCCUGUACCGUGAAAUCAAUGCUCUAUUCUCUGGCCUAAUGGAUUCAUCACAUGACUCUGAAUCAGAUUUGAUCUGUAACAUCUCAUCAAGGAAAAUAGCAUACAGGAUUCUGAUGAUUUCGAAUGUGACUGAUUUUUAAAGUUGUUCCUUGGCAUGGUGUUUUGAGAACGGACUAUUUUUUUCAAUUCUGCUCCAUUUGUGGAUAGAAAACGUUUCUGUCCUUGAUUAUCAAUGAGUUGAGCUGUGAUGAUCUUUGCUGAACUGAAGGUAUAGAGAAGGAGGCAUGGAGGGCCAAACCAGGUCUUUAUAAUGGGAACCAGUACAUGACCGAUUUGAAUUACUCCUUCAGUGUGUACAGAAUAUUCACCCAGGAUAUUAAUAUGCCAGAUGUUGGAUUUUACAAAUGAUACCAUGUCUACAAAACUCAUGGGAUUUCUGUUUUGGGCGCCAAGUCAGAGUUUUCAACAGUUGAAGAAAGAAAUGUUUUGCGGAGACCAUGUCCAGAAAGUUUCAUGGGAUUUGUGUUUGGGGGCGCCACAUCGGAGGAGAGCUUUGACUGUGUAUCAUUCAAGUUGCAUUAGACAGCUGAUACAAUCGUUGCGAGUUCUUGGUAGGAUGUACUUUGAAAUGUAUGUGCACUGGCAUCCCUCACUUAAGUUCUCCUGUGAUGCUGACAGUCAGUAUGUAAGCUAACAUGUUACUUCCAGCUGUUUAGAUGGCAUCGUACCGUGUACUAAAACCUUUAGUAACAACAGUAACUGUUUGGUA
Molecule: long non-coding RNA, 2029 nt
Organism: Lolium rigidum
Lineage: Eukaryota; Viridiplantae; Streptophyta; Magnoliopsida; Poales; Poaceae
Exons: 6
Source: RefSeq, a predicted model, not a curated record